AACGAACGCUGGCGGCAUGCCUAACACAUGCAAGUCGAACGAGACCUUCGGGUCUAGUGGCGCACGGGUGCGUAACGCGUGGGAACCUGCCCUUAGGUUCGGAAUAACUCCCCGAAAGGGGUGCUAAUACCGGAUAAUGUCUUCGGACCAAAGAUUUAUCGCCUUUGGAUGGGCCCGCGUUGGAUUAGCUAGUUGGUAGGGUAAAAGCCUACCAAGGCGACGAUCCAUAGCUGGUCUGAGAGGAUGAUCAGCCACACUGGGACUGAGACACGGCCCAGACUCCGAAGGGAGGCAGCAGUGGGGAAUAUUGGACAAUGGGCGAAAGCCUGAGCCAGCAAGGCCGCGUGAGUGAUGAAGGCCUUAGGGUGGUAAAGCUCUUUUACCCGGGAUGAUAAUGACAGGACCGGGAGAAUAAGCUCCGGCUAACUCCGU
This 432-nucleotide ribosomal RNA is filed under the name uncultured bacterium. RNAcentral describes it as "partial 16S ribosomal RNA". It matches the Rfam family "Bacterial small subunit ribosomal RNA", at positions 29 to 506 of the family's 1533-position model. The record is from RNAcentral.